UACGUAGGGGGCAAGCGUUAUCCGGAUUUACUGGGUGUAAAGGGAGCGUAGACGGAAUUGCAAGUCUGAUGUGAAAAUCCGGGGCCCAACCCCGGAACUGCAUUGGAAACUGUAUUUCUAGAGUGUCGGAGAGGCAAGUGGAAUUCCUGGUGUAGCGGUGAAAUGCGUAGAUAUAUGGAAGAACACCAGUGGCGAAAGCGGCUCUCUGGUCUGUAACUGACGCUGAGGUUCGAAAGCGUGGGUAGCAAACAGG
Molecule: ribosomal RNA, 253 nt
Filed under: uncultured bacterium
Lineage: Bacteria
Also listed under: 1 other name
Description: partial 16S ribosomal RNA
Rfam family: Bacterial small subunit ribosomal RNA
Source: RNAcentral